Molecule: unclassified non-coding RNA, 244 nt
Filed under: uncultured fungus
Lineage: Eukaryota; Fungi
Description: sequence contains ITS2
Rfam family: 5.8S ribosomal RNA (bases 1-52)
Source: RNAcentral
AACGCACAUUGCGCCCUCUGGUAUUCCGGGGGGCAUGCCUGUUCGAGCGUCAUUACAACCCUCAAGCUCAGCUUGGUAUUGGGUGUCACCGGUACCCGGUGCACCUUAAAAUCAGUGGCGGUGCCAUUCGGCUUCAAGCGUAGUAAUAACUUCUCGCUUCUGGAGUUUGAGUGUGCUCUUGCCAGCAACCCCCAAUUUUUUAAAGGUUGACCUCGGAUCAGGUAGGGAUACCCGCUGAACUUAA